AUUUUCUCAAGAUGCUUACAUUUCGUUAAAACCAAAUGUUCAAGCUUAGGAAAAGCAUCAUCAGAGAUGGACCAUUGUACAACUUUGAGGUUGUCCAGUUUUAAGUAUUUGAGUUCUAGGAACUCUGAAUCUUUCACUUCCCAGUGAUCCCCUUCAAAGGCUCUGAGCAAUAACUUAAGAAUCACCAAGUUGGGCAGUUCUGCAAUGAUCGAAAUUUGGGUCCAAGGUAGACGGAACUUUGAUAAAGUCAGUUCCCUUAGUUGCGAGGGGAAAUUGAACUUGUGAGGAAGUUUGGCUGGAUAGCUGUUCGAAACCAGCUUGAGGGACUCAAGGUGACUUAGAAAAUCUAAUCUGGG
RNAcentral lists this unclassified non-coding RNA (356 nucleotides) under Hevea brasiliensis (rubber tree). Lineage: Eukaryota; Viridiplantae; Streptophyta; Magnoliopsida; Malpighiales; Euphorbiaceae. The record is from RNAcentral.